Echinops telfairi (small Madagascar hedgehog) is the source of this 117-nucleotide small nucleolar RNA. RefSeq annotates it as small nucleolar RNA SNORA26. The transcript has a single exon. The record is from RefSeq and is a predicted model, not a curated record. NCBI's taxonomy places the organism in Eukaryota, Metazoa, Chordata, Mammalia, Afrosoricida, Tenrecidae.
GUGCCCUUUUAAGGUUGCUGAAGUACUUUAAGAGGCUAACAGUUAAAGCGAGUCUCCAUAAAACCCAGAGAUGAGGUUGGUAGAACUCGUCUUUGGAUCCUGUCUGGAGUCACAGCU